UAUGUGAUCGUCUCUCGCAUAUCAAUAAGCGGAGGAAAAGAAACUAACAAGGAUUCCCCUAGUAACGGCGAGUGAAGCGGGAAGAGCUCAAAUUUGAAAUCUUAAAGGGUUUCCCUUUACGAAUUGUAGUUUAAAGAAGUGUUUUCUGUUGAGGUUUUGGUAAAAGUUCUUUGGAAUAGGACAUCAUAGAGGGUGAGAAUCCCGUAUUUGACCUUUACUUUCAACUUUGUGAUACACUUUCAAAGAGUCGGAUUGUUUGGGAAUGCAGUCCAAAAUGGGUGGUAAAUUUCAUCUAAAGCUAAAUAUUGGCGAGAGACCGAUAGCGAACAAGUACCGUGAGGGAAAGAUGAAAAGAGCUUUGAAAAGAGAGUUAAACAGUACGUGAAAUUGUCAAAAGGGAAGCGUUUGACACCAGUGUUGUUUUUCUGAAAAUCAAUUAAAGAACUGUUUAUGCUAAGUUGUUUAGACUUUAUCAGCUAACUGUUUAGUUUUGAGCUUUUCUUUAAUGCACUUUUCAGUUAACAAGUCAACAUCAAUUUCUUUUGCUGUAAAAAAGCUUGAGGAAGGUGGCUUGAGAUUCGUCUUAAGUGUUUAUAGCCUCUUGCCUAUGCAGUCGGAGAGAUUGAGGUCUGCAGCGUAGAUCCUUCGGGGCUAAAUGCAUUUGUGCUAAGUUAUAACAUUUUAUAGACAACUUGUUGACUAUGAUUUGUCUUGUAGCUUACUCGCUUAUGUUAUUUUACCUACGCUUAGGAUGUUGAAUCUGUGCGAGACUAC
Molecule: ribosomal RNA, 774 nt
Filed under: uncultured Neocallimastigales
Lineage: Eukaryota; Fungi; Neocallimastigomycota; Neocallimastigomycetes; Neocallimastigales
Description: partial large subunit ribosomal RNA
Rfam family: Eukaryotic large subunit ribosomal RNA
Source: RNAcentral